AGUGAACGCUGGCGGUAGGCCUAACACAUGCAAGUCGAACGGCAGCACAGUAAGGGCUUGCUCUUACGGGUGGCGAGUGGCGGACGGGUGAGGAAUACAUCGGAAUCUACUUUUUCGUGGGGGAUAACGUAGGGAAACUUACGCUAAUACCGCAUACGACCUACGGGUGAAAGCAGGGGAUCUUCGGACCUUGCGCGAUUGAAUGAGCCGAUGCCGGAUUAGCUAGUUGGCGGGGUAAAGGCCCACCAAGGCGACGAUCCGUAGCUGGUCUGAGAGGAUGAUCAGCCACACUGGAACUGAGACACGGUCCAGACUCCUACGGGAGGCAGCAGUGGGGAAUAUUGGACAAUGGGCGCAAGCCUGAUCCAGCCAUACCGCGUGGGUGAAGAAGGCCUUCGGGUUGUAAAGCCCUUUUGUUGGGAAAGAAAAGCAGCAGGUUAAUACCCCGCUGUUCUGACGGUACCCAAAGAAUAAGCACCGGCUAACUUCGUG
Molecule: ribosomal RNA, 492 nt
Filed under: uncultured bacterium
Lineage: Bacteria
Description: partial 16S ribosomal RNA
Rfam family: Bacterial small subunit ribosomal RNA
Source: RNAcentral